CUCACUGACGGAGGGCUAACUUCUCAUUUCCCCAAAAGGGUCUUCUUUGACAUUUCAGGCGGACAGGCGUGCUUCGUUAACGGGAGUCCCCACUCAUGGUGGCCGUCUUCGGUGCGACUGUGCCGGACAAAUGUUUCCAGAAAGCGGCGCUAACUAUGGAAGCUAAUGCUACUGGUAGCCAACAACUAGUUGGCUCUCACGCGCACGCACGCGCGCGUGCUCAAGUGAGUGUUCCGCGAGAUAUUCCCAUGGCGCUGAUUGGACGCGCCGGGUGACGUCACAGGGCGGGGCUCCACCCCUCACAUUUUUAAAAGGGACCAGCAUGACAGGUUGAUUUAUGGACCGUCACUUCAGUUGAGACAUGCAGGGGGUAGUCCAACAACACAAAAUCGAUCACUGCUGCUGAGCACAAAGAUGCAUUUUUUUCACCCCCUCAAAAGCAUGCAGACUUCCAUCAAGAGCAUAAACAAGCCAGACUGAGGCGUGGCCUGCAGGAGAGGAGAGCAGGAGGAAAAGAGAGGAAGAGAGGGUGAUGAUGAUGGUGAUGAUGAUGAUGAUGAAACCCAAGUGCAAGAGACAUGUGUGAACGGUAUCAUGACCUGCAACUUGUGUGUGAAGAUGUUCUUCUGUGUUUAAUGUCUCUCUGCAGGUAAACAGUGAGCAAGACCAAUAUAGUGUGAGUUUAUGCAAUGUACUUUUGUUCCGCCUGUGAAGAAGUAGUGUAUAACCUCAUGAUGUACUGUGUUGUAUGAGCAUGAUUUAUGUUUUAAUUAAAUCUGCAAUUGCUUUACUUAU
This is a long non-coding RNA of Entelurus aequoreus (snake pipefish), 795 nucleotides long. RefSeq lists it as uncharacterized. The transcript has 3 exons. The record is from RefSeq and is a predicted model, not a curated record. Lineage: Eukaryota; Metazoa; Chordata; Actinopteri; Syngnathiformes; Syngnathidae.